AAGGGGGCAACCCUGAGUAGAGUGGCGAACGGGUGAGUAACGCGUGGGUGAUCUACCUUUGAGUGGGGGAUAACGUUCCGAAAGGGACGCUAAUACCGCAUGACGUUCCGGGUUUAAAGGCCUGGAAACCAAAGCCGGGGACCGCAAGGCCUGGCGCUUAUAGAGGAGCCCGCGUCCGAUUAGCUAGUUGGCGGGGUAAUGGCCCACCAAGGCGACGAUCGGUAGCCGGCCUGAGAGGGCGGACGGCCACACUGGAACUGAGACACGGUCCAGACUCCUACGGGAGGCAGCAGUGGGGAAUUGUUCACAAUGGGCGCAAGCCUGAUGACGCAACGCCGCGUGGGGGAUGAAGGUCUUCGGA
This 361-nucleotide ribosomal RNA is filed under the name uncultured bacterium. Its description in RNAcentral is "bacterial SSU rRNA". It matches the Rfam family "Bacterial small subunit ribosomal RNA", at positions 73 to 422 of the family's 1533-position model. The record is from RNAcentral.